AUGCAAGUCGAGCGCACUCUUCGGAAUGAGCGGCGGACGGGUUAGUAACGCGUGGGAACAUACCCUUCUCUACGGAAUAGCCUCGGGAAACUGAGAGUAAUACCGUAUACGCCCUUCGGGGGAAAGAUUUAUCGGAGAUGGAUUGGCCCGCGUUAGAUUAGAUAGUUGGUGGGGUAAUGGCCUACCAAGUCUACGAUCUAUAGCUGGUUUGAGAGGAUGAUCAGCAACACUGGGACUGAGACACGGCCCAGACUCCUACGGGAGGCAGCA
This 270-nucleotide ribosomal RNA is filed under the name uncultured Loktanella sp. RNAcentral describes it as "partial 16S ribosomal RNA". It matches the Rfam family "Bacterial small subunit ribosomal RNA", at positions 55 to 353 of the family's 1533-position model. Lineage: Bacteria; Pseudomonadati; Pseudomonadota; Alphaproteobacteria; Rhodobacterales; Roseobacteraceae. The record is from RNAcentral.